UCCGCUCCGCUCCGCCCGCCCGCCACCGCUCCCCCGUGCACCGCUGCCCACCCUCGCCCCGCUGCCGCUCCUCACUGCCAGUGAGGGGCGAGCAGAGGGGGAAGGGGAGAGGCAGCAGAGGGGGAUUGUGCGGGAGAGGAAAUUAGGAGGGAGGGGAGGGGAUGACGGUGGCGAAGACAGGAGGAGGAGGGGAGCGACAGUGGAUCUCUAGUGAUGAGGAUAGAGGGAGGAGGAUAAGGAGAGGAAAAGAAGCCUAGGAGGAAGAUGAGGAUUGAGGAGAGGAUGAGGAUGAGGAUGAAGAGAUAAGUAGAGAGGAGGGCCUGGGAAGCGGAGAGUGCUACCUCGAGCCGCACGACACCUCC
Molecule: long non-coding RNA, 362 nt
Filed under: Setaria viridis
Lineage: Eukaryota; Viridiplantae; Streptophyta; Magnoliopsida; Poales; Poaceae
Description: long non-coding RNA (SVIR_LNC004588)
Source: RNAcentral